AUUGAACGCUGGCGGAAUGCUUUACACAUGCAAGUCGAACGGCAGCACGGACUUCGGCCUGGUGGCGAGUGGCGAACGGGUGAGUAAUGUAUCGGAACGUGCCCAGUCGUGGGGGAUAACGUAGUGAAAAUUACGCUAAUACCGCAUACGAUCUAUGGAUGAAAGCGGGGGACCGUAAGGCCUCGCGCGAGUGGAGCGGCCGAUAUCAGAUUAGGUAGUUGGUGGGGUAAAGGCUCACCAAGCCGACGAUCUGUAGCUGGUCUGAGAGGACGACCAGCCACACUGGAACUGAGACACGGUCCAGACUCCUACGGGUGGCAGCAGUGGGGAAUUUUGGACAAUGGGCGCAAGCCUGAUCCAGCCAUUCCGCGUGCAGGAUGAAGGCCCUCGGGUUGUAAACUGCUUUUGUACGGAACGAAAAGGCUCUGGUUAAUACCUGGGGCUCAUGACGGUACCGUAAGAAUAAGCACCGGCUAACUACGUGCCAGCAGCCGCGGUAA
This 500-nucleotide ribosomal RNA is filed under the name uncultured bacterium. RNAcentral's name for it is "partial 16S ribosomal RNA". It matches the Rfam family "Bacterial small subunit ribosomal RNA", at positions 30 to 523 of the family's 1533-position model. The record is from RNAcentral.